GACGAACGCUGGCGGCGUGCCUAACACAUGCAAGUCGAGCGGGAAUUCAUAGACUGAUUUCUUCGGAAUGAUGAUUAUGAAGGAGAGCGGCGGACGGGUGAGUAACGCGUGAGUAACCUGCCUUCAGGAGGGGGACAACACUUCGAAAGGGGUGCUAAUACCGCAUAAUAUACAUUUAAGGCAUCUUAGAUGUAUCAAAGAUUUUAUCGCCUGAAGAUGGACUCGCGUCUGAUUAGCUAGUUGGUGGGGUAAAGGCCUACCAAGGCGACGAUCAGUAGCCGAACUGAGAGGUUGAUCGGCCACAUUGGGACUGAGACACGGCCCAGACUCCUACGGGAGGCAGCAGUGGGGGAUAUUGCGCAAUGGGGGGCAACCCUGACGCAGCAACGCCGCGUGAAGGAAGAAGGUUUCGUAGUCGUAAACUUACUUUAAGU
This 434-nucleotide ribosomal RNA is filed under the name uncultured bacterium. RNAcentral's name for it is "bacterial SSU rRNA". It matches the Rfam family "Bacterial small subunit ribosomal RNA", at positions 28 to 441 of the family's 1533-position model. The record is from RNAcentral.